This 400-nucleotide ribosomal RNA is filed under the name uncultured bacterium. RNAcentral describes it as "bacterial SSU rRNA". It matches the Rfam family "Bacterial small subunit ribosomal RNA", at positions 356 to 773 of the family's 1533-position model. The record is from RNAcentral.
GGGGAAUCUUAGACAAUGGGCGCAAGCCUGAUCUAGCCAUGCCGCGUGAGCGAUGAAGGCCUUAGGGUUGUAAAGCUCUUUCGUGGGGGAAGAUAAUGACUGUACCCCAAGAAGAAGCCCCGGCUAACUCCGUGCCAGCAGCCGCGGUAAUACGGAGGGGGCUAGCGUUGUUCGGAAUUACUGGGCGUAAAGCGCACGUAGGCGGACUGGAAAGUCAGAGGUGAAAUCCCAGGGCUCAACCUUGGAACUGCCUUUGAAACUCCCGGUCUUGAGGUCGAGAGAGGUGAGUGGAAUUCCGAGUGUAGAGGUGAAAUUCGUAGAUAUUCGGAGGAACACCAGUGGCGAAGGCGGCUCACUGGCCCGAUACUGACACUGAGGCGCGAAAGCGUGGGUAGCGAAC